UCCAGACUCCUACGGGAGGCAGCAGUGGGGAAUAUUGCACAAUGGGGGAAACCCUGAUGCAGCGACGCCGCGUGAGUGAAGAAGUAUUUCGGUAUGUAAAGCUCUAUCAGCAGGGAAGAAAAUGACGGUACCUGACUAAGAAGCCCCGGCUAACUACGUGCCAGCAGCCGCGGUAAUACGUAGGGGGCAAGCGUUAUCCGGAUUUACUGGGUGUAAAGGGAGCGUAGACGGCAUGGCAAGUCAGAUGUGAAAGCCCGGGGCUCAACCCCGGGACUGCAUUUGAAACUGUCUGGCUGGAGUGCAGGAGAGGUAAGUGGAAUUCCUAGUGUAGCGGUGAAAUGCGUAGAUAUCAGGAGGAACACCGGUGGCGAAGGCGGCCUGCUGGACUGCAACUGACGUUGAGGCCCGAAAGCGUGGGGAGCAAACAGGAUUAGAUACCCCCGUA
Molecule: ribosomal RNA, 445 nt
Filed under: uncultured bacterium
Lineage: Bacteria
Description: bacterial SSU rRNA
Rfam family: Bacterial small subunit ribosomal RNA
Source: RNAcentral